Non-coding RNA from Aedes albopictus (Asian tiger mosquito), 72 nucleotides. NCBI's taxonomy places the organism in Eukaryota, Metazoa, Arthropoda, Insecta, Diptera, Culicidae. The record is from Rfam.
GGCUCGGCAGCUUAGUUGGAAAAGCACUUGUCCAGCGAAUAAGGGUCGUGAGAUCAAAUCUCACCUGAGCUG